AGUGAACGCUGGCGGUAGGCCUAACACAUGCAAGUCGAACGGCAGCACAGUAAGAGCUUGCUCUUACGUGUGUCGAGUGGCGGACGGGUGAGGAAUACAUCGGAAUCUACUUUUUCGUGGGGGAUAACGUAGGGAAACUUACGCUAAUACCGCAUACGACCUACGUGUGAAAGCAGGGGAUCUUCGGACCUUGCGCGAUUGAAUGAGCCGAUGUCGGAUUAGCUAGUUGGCGGGGUAAAGGCCCACCAAGGCGACGAUCCGUAGCUGGUCUGAGAGGAUGAUCAGCCACAAUGGAACUGAGAAACGGUACAGACACCUACGGGAGGCAGCAGUGGGGAAUAUUGGACAAUGGGCGAAAGCCUGAUCCAGCAAUACCGCGUGGGUGAAGAAGGACUUCGGGUUGUAAAGCCAUUUUGUUGGGAAAGAAAAGCAGCAGGUUAAUACCCCGCUGUUCUGACGGUACCCAAAGAAUAAGCACCGGCUAACUUCGUG
This 492-nucleotide ribosomal RNA is filed under the name uncultured bacterium. RNAcentral's name for it is "partial 16S ribosomal RNA". It matches the Rfam family "Bacterial small subunit ribosomal RNA", at positions 29 to 507 of the family's 1533-position model. The record is from RNAcentral.